This 434-nucleotide ribosomal RNA is filed under the name uncultured bacterium. Its description in RNAcentral is "bacterial SSU rRNA". It matches the Rfam family "Bacterial small subunit ribosomal RNA", at positions 29 to 507 of the family's 1533-position model. The record is from RNAcentral.
AACGAACGCUGGCGGCAUGCCUAAUACAUGCAAGUCGAACGAACACUUCGGUGUUAGUGGCGCACGGGUGCGUAACGCGUGGGAAUCUACCCUUGGGUUCGGAAUAACAGUUGGAAACGACUGCUAAUACCGGAUGAUGACGUAAGUCCAAAGAUUUAUCGCCCAGGGAUGAGCCCGCGUAGGAUUAGCUAGUUGGUGAGGUAAAGGCUCACCAAGGCUACGAUCCUUAGCUGGUCUGAGAGGAUGAUCAGCCACACUGGGACUGAGACACGGCCCAGACUCCUACGGGAGGCAGCAGUAGGGAAUAUUGGACAAUGGGCGAAAGCCUGAUCCAGCAAUGCCGCGUGAGCGAUGAAGGCCUUAGGGUUGUAAAGCCUUUUACCCGGGAUGAUAAUGACAGUACCGGGAGAAUAAAGCCCCGGCUAAACUCCGUG